UCAAGCAAGAAAGAGCACAAGGAGAAUGCCUUGGCACUAGGAGCCGAUGAAAGACGUGGUAAGCUGCGAAAAGCUUCGGGGAGGCGCAAACAGCCAUCGAUCCGGAGAUAUCUGAAUGGGGAAACCUACUUGAGCAAACCUCAAGUAUCCAUACGUGAAUCCAUAGCGUAUGGAAGGGAACGCUGUGAACUGAAACAUCUAAGUAGCAGUAGGAGGAGAAAGAAAACUCGAUUUCCUAAGUAGCGGCGAGCGAACGGGAAAGAGGCCAAACCGAAGGACCUGGUUCUUCGGGGUUGCGGACUGCAAUUAGCAUUGCUGAGAGAUAGACGAAUGGUUUUGGGAAAGCCAGCCGUAGACGGUGAAAGCCCGGUAGACGAAAUCUUGAAGCAGCGAGCAGGAUCCAGAGUACCACGAGACACGAGAAACCUUGUGGGAAGCCGGGGGGACCACCCCCCAAGCCUAAAUACUCCCUAGUGACCGAUAGUGAAGCAGUACUGUGAAGGAAAGGUGAAAAGGACCCCGGGAGGGGAGUGAAAGAGAACCUGAAACCUUGUGCUUACAAACAGUCAAAGGCCUACGGGCUGAUGGCGUACUUUUUGUAGAACGGUCCGGCGAGUUACUAAUGCCAGCGAGGUUAAGAUGUCAGAAGCAUCGGAGCCGAAGGGAAACCAAGUCUGAAUAGGGCGUAGAGUUGGUAUUAGUAGACCCGAAACCGGGUGACCUAUCCAUGUCCAGGUUGAAGGAACCGUAAAAGGUUUUGGAGGACCGAACACACAUGUGUUGAAAAACGUGGUGAUGAGGUGUGGAUAGCGGAGAAAUUCCAAUCGAACUCGGAGAUAGCUGGUUCUCCUCGAAAUAGCUUUAGGGCUAGCCUCGAGCUGGAGUCUAACGGAGGUAAAGCACUGAACUGACGCGGGGCCCAAAAAGGUUACCAACUCAUAUCAAACUAAGAAUGCCGUCAAGAUACCCUCGGGAGUCAGUCUGCGUGAGAUAAGUCGCGUGGACAAAAGGGAAAGAGCCCAGACCGACAGCUAAGGUCCCAAAGUACGUGUUAAGUGGAAAAGGAUGUGGGAUUUCAGAGACAACUAGGAUGUUGGCUUAGAAGCAGCCAUACAUUUAAAGAGUGCGUAAUAGCUCACUAGUCGAGAAAACCUGCGCCGAAAAUGUAACGGGGCUAAAACACGACACCGAAGCUACGGAUUCCUUACAAAGUAAGGAGUGGUAGAGGAGCAUCCUGCAAGGACGAAGCCAAAGUGAGAGCGAUGGUGGACGAAACAGGAGAGAGAAUGCCGGAAUGAGUAGCGAGAUACAUGUGAGAAACAUGUAGGCCGAAUAUCUAAGGAUUCCUGGGUAAAGCUAAUCUUCCCAGGGUUAGUCGGGGCCUAAGGCGAGGACGAAAGUCGUAGUCGAUGGAUAACAGGUUGAUAUUCCUGUACUACACAUAAUCAGAACUGUGGGGACGCAGGAGGAUAGGGAAACCGGGGAAUGGAAAGACCCGGUCAAGCGUAAAGCUGUGGGAGAUAGGCAAAUCCGUCUCUUGUAAGUGAAACGUGAUGAGGACUGAAAAAAAGUAAGGAAGUUUCCGAAUCCACACUGCCGAGAAAAGCCGCUAUUGCGUUAUGUGUACCCGUACCGUAAACCGACACAGGUAGAUGAGGAGAAAAUCCACAGGCCGACGGGAGAAGUGUUGUUAAGGAACUCGGCAAAAUGACCCCGUAACUUCGGGAUAAGGGGAGCCUCGCAAGAGGCCGCAGAAAAGAGGCACAAGCAACUGUUUAGCAAAAACAUAGGUCUAUGCGAAACCGUAAGGUGAAGUAUAUGGGCUGACGCCUGCCCGGUGCUGGAAGGUUAAAAGGAGAGGUCAGCGCAAGCGAAGCUUUGAAUUCAAGCCCCAGUAAACGGCGGCCGUAACUAUAACGGUCCUAAGGUAGCGAAAUUCCUUGUCAGGUAAGUUCUGACCCGC
RNAcentral lists this ribosomal RNA (1963 nucleotides) under human gut metagenome. RNAcentral describes it as "bacterial LSU rRNA". It matches the Rfam family "Bacterial large subunit ribosomal RNA", at positions 3 to 1991 of the family's 2925-position model. The record is from RNAcentral.